Molecule: ribosomal RNA, 497 nt
Filed under: uncultured bacterium
Lineage: Bacteria
Description: partial 16S ribosomal RNA
Rfam family: Bacterial small subunit ribosomal RNA
Source: RNAcentral
GAUGAACGCUGGCGGCGUGCCUAAUACAUGCAAGUCGAGCGAACAGACGAGGAGCUUGCUCCUCUGACGUUAGCGGCGGACGGGUGAGUAACACGUGGAUAACCUACCUAUAUGACUGGGAUAACUUCGGGUAACCGGAGCUAAUACCGGAUAAUAUAUUGAACCGCAUGGUUCAAUAGUGAAAGACGGUUUUGCUGUCACUUAUAGAUGGAUCCGCGCCGCAUUAGCUAGUUGGUAAGGUAACGGCUUACCAAGGCGACGAUGCGUAGCCGACCUGAGAGGGUGAUCGGCCACACUGGAACUGAGACACGGUCCAGACUCCUACGGGAGGCAGCAGUAGGGAAUCUUCCGCAAUGGGCGAAAGCCUGACGGAGCAACGCCGCGUGAGUGAUGAAGGUCUUCGGAUCGUAAAACUCUGUUAUUAGGGAAGAACAAAUGUGUAAGUAACUAUGCACGUCUUGACGGUACCUAAUCAGAAAGCCACGGCUAACUACGUG